Molecule: unclassified non-coding RNA, 802 nt
Filed under: Zea mays
Lineage: Eukaryota; Viridiplantae; Streptophyta; Magnoliopsida; Poales; Poaceae
Description: misc RNA Zm00001eb239010
Source: RNAcentral
CAACAAGCAAGCCAGCAGCAGGCAGCAGGAGCCCCUCCGUCCGUCCCAUCCGGCCAUCCGCGCAGUGCCCCCACACCACAGGCAUCUUGCCCCGCUACCAAGAAAGUACAACAGCUCACCUAUCUACCUAUCCAUCUCCAUCCACCCAUCCUUGUUUGUUCCUCAUGCAUUCUUACUGUCCGCCUGCCUGCCUGAUCAGGACAGGAGCCAGCAUGCCGCCAUCACCGUCGUUGCUGGACCUCAUGAGCCUGCCGCCCGACCUGUCUCCGUCUGCCGAGGAAGCGGCGGACUCGUCGUCCUCGGAAGGCAGCAGCUGUGGCUUGGUGCAGGUGGUGCCGAGGGACCUCUCCGACGAGCUCCUCGGCAAGUUCGAGGACACCAGCGAGUUCGGCUUCGAGUACAGCCAGAGCGGCCUCUGGUCGCCGCUGGUCCUGCGGCCCGAGGUCCUCGCGACCGCGGUGCGGGACCGACGCAGGCGCAGCCGCCGGAGUUGGAGGAGGAAGGUUCGUAUGGUGUUCUGUUGCUGCUGACAUCCGGUUUAUGUUGGGACAAGCUCUUGUCUCUACUAAAAACUCCUCCGCAGCUUCUCAUGUAAAAACUGUUUCGUACUUAAUUUCGUGAUGAAGUUAGUUUGUACUUUGGUUAUAAUGAAGAUUACUUUUUACUGGGAUGUAAACUAGAAUGCCUGCGGGUUUGUAAGUGCUGGUGUCCACUGAUUUUGGGUUCUCGAAUAUUUGUCGUCCGCUAGUUUAUUUUGAACUAAACCGCGAAAAAUAAAAAAGAAGGGAGAGAGUCCUGAUUA